GUUUUUUCCAGAGUAAGAGCUCCGGACACAAUCGCGCUGUGACUUCCAAUUCAUCAUCCUCGAAAGCAACCACUACCGGUGUGAUAAUAAUAAAGAUUAGAUAUAAAAAAAAAAAAAAAAAAACAAAUGAUUCAGAAUCAGAGCGGGAAAAAGUCAAUUUUACUGGCAACAUGAAAGAAGUUGCUACUGGUUUAUUAAAUAAGAAGCCUUUGAGUGAGAGAGAACGAGAAAUACCGCCCAACAUUCCCUCGACAACUUCACAACCACAAAUAUCAUCACAAACUACACAAGACCUGCUUUUGCCACCAUCUCCACCACAACUACCACCACCUGCACAAACACUAACUAUGGAAGCAGCUCAAACUUUAGCAACUGCAGAUGCCUUAGACAAAUAUCAUCACAAAAUAUAGAAGACUCGCUUUUGCCACCAUCUUCACCACCACUUGCACAAACACCGCCUAUUGCAACAGCUCAAACUUCAGAAAUUGAAGUUGUCACCCUAAAAAAUGAGGAAACGAAGAGAAUGAAAAAUGAUAGAAAAUAUGCAUGGGUAGACAACUAUACUAUAGGCCCUUUUAUUUGCAAGAUUUUCUAUGCAAUCGAAGAAUAGCACUUUGGCUACAAGAUGUGGUAAGUAUAUUUCUCACCUUGCUUAUAUUAUUGACCGUUUUCACUGCAACAAAAAGAAUUCCUAUACUGGUAUUUUUGCACUACGACAGGUUAAAGCAGAAGAAUGCGGUCACUUCAUUUUUUAAGGCCUGCCAGGAGUGGGAAAGAAAACUAUGGUUUGGGCUUUGCUUAGAGAAGCCUUUGGAGCCAACAACGUACAGGUGAAUUCUAAUAAAUGAAUUAAUAUGCAUCUAAUAGAAUCAAAUUUAGGAUUGACAGAAAGAGUUGAAAAUUUCUAGCA
RNAcentral lists this long non-coding RNA (910 nucleotides) under Olea europaea subsp. europaea. The record is from RNAcentral. Lineage: Eukaryota; Viridiplantae; Streptophyta; Magnoliopsida; Lamiales; Oleaceae.